CAUGGUGGAGAACAUGGCUCAGGCUUGCCCAGGUGUGCCCUAUAUGCCAACAAGUAUUUCCUACUUCAGUGCUCCCUCUUCAUGGCAGUGUUUGUGCAGAAAGAUCCUUCUGCAACAACACAAUUGUGGAGCCUGAUGUGGAGGUUCCAGGCCCUUCAUCUGCAGAUUCCUCUGUGGCUCGAUCAGCCCUUCGUUUGACAACUUCUUUAGCAACAGCAUGGAAAACAGCAGAUACCCCCCUAGAAGCCAUGCAGC
This is a long non-coding RNA of Clupea harengus (Atlantic herring), 255 nucleotides long. RefSeq lists it as uncharacterized. The transcript is spliced from 3 exons. The record is from RefSeq and is a predicted model, not a curated record. NCBI's taxonomy places the organism in Eukaryota, Metazoa, Chordata, Actinopteri, Clupeiformes, Clupeidae.